RNAcentral lists this ribosomal RNA (397 nucleotides) under uncultured bacterium. RNAcentral's name for it is "bacterial SSU rRNA". It matches the Rfam family "Bacterial small subunit ribosomal RNA", at positions 9 to 403 of the family's 1533-position model. The record is from RNAcentral.
GAGUUUGAUCAUGGCUCAGGACGAACGCUGGCGGCACGCCUAACACAUGCAAGUCGAACGGAGAUAAUUGAGUUUACUUAAUUAUCUUAGUGGCGGACGGGUGAGUAACACGUGAGCAACCUGCCUCUGAGAGAGGGAUAGCUUCUGGAAACGGAUGGUAAUACCUCAUAACAUAUGCUUAAGGCAUCUUAGGCAUAUCAAAGAUUUAUCACUCAGAGAUGGGCUCGCGUCUGAUUAGCUAGAUGGUGAGGUAACGGCUCACCAUGGCGACGAUCAGUAGCCGGACUGAGAGGUUGAACGGCCACAUUGGGACUGAGACACGGCCCAGACUCCUACGGGAGGCAGCAGUGGGGAAUAUUGCACAAUGGGGGAAACCCUGAUGCAGCGAUGCCGCGUG